Molecule: RNase P RNA, 535 nt
Filed under: Haloterrigena gelatinilytica
Lineage: Archaea; Methanobacteriati; Methanobacteriota; Halobacteria; Halobacteriales; Natrialbaceae
Description: RNase P RNA component
Rfam family: Archaeal RNase P (bases 109-531)
About the family: Ribonuclease P (RNase P) is a ubiquitous endoribonuclease, found in archaea, bacteria and eukarya as well as chloroplasts and mitochondria. Its best characterised activity is the generation of mature 5'-ends of tRNAs by cleaving the 5'-leader elements of precursor-tRNAs.
Source: RNAcentral
GGGAGAGAGAGUCCGGCCGCCGCGAUGGCCCCGCCGGCAACGGCGCGGCCACCUAUCGUUGGCCACCCCUCCGGGUUGCCCAACGCACCUAACGUGGCCCAUCUCUUCGAGAUGCGCCACGCUCGCGAGGAAAGUCCCCCCACCUGUUCGGGCAGGUGACCGGACGCAAGUCCGGAGCGGGAGACCGCUGGCUCUGGAACAGAAACGACACGUCUCGGCCCGACCGAUGAUGCGUGCGAACCCGACCGAGAGGAAGGGGAGUUGACCCGCUGAGGGAAGCGUGGUCGCGAAGCGACCACGGUACGCGAGGCGGCGUUCGCCGCCGAGCCGUGCGGUCGACAGCACGCGGUUCGAAACCGCAAGUCACGCCCGUCGUGACCGACCGCACAGAGACGGCCGAGGACCGAUGGAACGGCGAACCCUCACCGGUGCAAGUCCGCGCCGUGGUAGCCCGAACGCCCCGCGAUUUCCGCGGACGGCGCGGACGCUCAGCCGAAUGCCGGAUCGAACAGAAGGGGGCUUACUCCUCUCACCC